Molecule: ribosomal RNA, 256 nt
Filed under: uncultured Lactobacillus sp.
Lineage: Bacteria; Bacillati; Bacillota; Bacilli; Lactobacillales; Lactobacillaceae
Description: partial 16S ribosomal RNA
Rfam family: Bacterial small subunit ribosomal RNA
Source: RNAcentral
AGUAACACGUGGGGAACCGUGCCCCACUAGUCUGGGAUACCACUUGGAAACAGGUGCUAAUACCGGAUAAGAAAGCGGAUCGCAUGAUCAGCUUUUAAAAGGCGGCGUAAGCUGUCGCUAUGGGAUGGCCCCGCGGUGCAUUAGCUAGUUGGUAAGGUAAAGGCUUACCAAGGCGAUGAUGCAUAGCCUAGUUGAGAGACUGAUCGGCCACAUUGGGACUUAGACACGGCCCAAACUCCUACGGGAGGCAGCAGGG